This 441-nucleotide ribosomal RNA is filed under the name uncultured bacterium. RNAcentral's name for it is "partial 16S ribosomal RNA". It matches the Rfam family "Bacterial small subunit ribosomal RNA", at positions 338 to 794 of the family's 1533-position model. The record is from RNAcentral.
CCUACGGGAGGCAGCAGUAAGGAAUCUUGCGCAAUGGGCGAAAGCCUGACGCAGCGACGCCGCGUGGGCGAUGAAGGCCUUCGGGUUGUAAAGCCCUUUUCUGGGGGACGAGGAAGGACGGUACCGACAGAAGAAGCCUCGGCUAACUACGUGCCAGCAGCCGCGGUAAAACGUAGGAGGCGAGCGUUGUCCGGAAUUACUGGGCGUAAAGCGUCCGUAGGCGGUGAGGUCAGUCGCACGUGAAAGCCCCGGGCUCAACUCGGGUGAGUGCGUGCGAUACUACCCCACUUGGGUGUCGGAGAGGAAAGCGGAACGGUGCAAGUAGCGGUGAAAUGCGUAGAUAUGCACCGGAACACCGGUGGCGAAGGCGGCUUUCAAGACGGCCACCGACGCUGAGGGACGAAAGCCAGGGGAGCGAACGGGAUUAGAUACCCUUGUAGU